GGAGAAAGAGAUGAGAGGUAGAGAUUGUCCCACUGGGUGUGCCAAUUUGUGAACACGGAAAAUUCCUGAAACGAAAGAGACAAGAACAACGUGCACAAACAAAUAUUUGUAUUUGAUGAUUUUGGGUUACAAUCUCUCUUAAAUUUGAUCAUCUGAUUCAAUCUCCGUAAGGUGUUGAUUUGUGGAUAUUUCGUUGAUCCAAGGGCCGUCGAGGCUU
Molecule: long non-coding RNA, 217 nt
Filed under: Malus domestica (apple)
Lineage: Eukaryota; Viridiplantae; Streptophyta; Magnoliopsida; Rosales; Rosaceae
Description: long non-coding RNA (MDOM_LNC004810)
Source: RNAcentral